This is a long non-coding RNA of Chroicocephalus ridibundus (black-headed gull), 914 nucleotides long. RefSeq lists it as uncharacterized. The record is from RefSeq and is a predicted model, not a curated record. NCBI's taxonomy places the organism in Eukaryota, Metazoa, Chordata, Aves, Charadriiformes, Laridae. The transcript is spliced from 3 exons.
GCUUUUUUCCCUCACAGGGUUUUUGUGCGUGGAGCUGAAGGCAGCAUGGGGACUCGCCUGGGCUGGGCACCCGGGACGGCCGGGUGCUGGGAGCGAUGCUGAGCCCCGACCCCUCUGCAGCGGGAGAGGGCCGGGAGAGCGGGAGGCUUUCAGCUGGUCACAAGGAAUGAGAGGAUGAAGGUCCCGAGGCACGGCUGUGCUGCACGGCAUUCCCGGUGCCUGCUCCUGCAUGGCUGCUGUGGCUCUCACCCCCCUGCCAAAGCCACCAGCGCGACCGGGGGUGGAGACAGCGGAAGGCUGCUGCGCAGGGCGAGGGCAGAGCCACCUGCGGGCGCUCCGUGCUGCGGGGCAGGGCAUGGAGCAGGACAAGGAGAGCCAUCGCACGCAGUUAGCGGCCAGUGAGAUGGUGCGGGGACGAGACGGCGCUGUCAGCAGCGGGCUGUGAAGGCACCGGCUGUGACGGAGCGUGAUCCCCCCGGGAAGCGGUGUCUGAGCCCCGGGAUCAGCCGGGGGCAGCGGGUUGGCGAGAUGCCGACGGUACGGGGUGCGGAUGGUCUGAGCCGCAGGAGCUCCGCCGCUUUCCUGCGGGAGAUAUCUACUGAAUACAUGGGUGCUGCGCUGCUGCUGCCUGCGCUCAGCCCAGCCUCCUCGCAGCACGAGCAGCAAAGCUCAGCCUGGAGCAUGUUUUUGUGACAUGCCCAAAACAGCACGAAAUUGCACAAAUCCCUGGUUUCCCAUUGUAAGAAAACCCUUUCAAGUGUGGAAGAGGAGGGAGAGGUGCGAAAGCUGCCGUGAGGUUUCCGCCUGCUCCUGCUUUCUCCAAGGGCAUCUCUUACAGCCACGUACCGCGGCCUCCUGGCUCCUUUGCCCUUUAGCACGAGAAGUCAUUUGUCAGCAACAGAAAAAAAGUUUUG